UACGUAGGGACCAAGCGUUGUUCGGAUUUACUGGGCGUAAAGGGCGCGUAGGUGGCGGGACAAGCGUGCGGUGAAAGCUCGGGGCUCAACCCCGGGUCGGCCGUGCGAACUGUUUUGCUUGAGCACUGUAGAGGCAGGCGGAAUUCCGGGUGUAGCGGUGGAAUGCGUAGAGAUCCGGAAGAACACCGGUGGCGAAGGCGGCCUGCUGGGCGAGAGCUGACACUGAGGCGCGACACG
This 237-nucleotide ribosomal RNA is filed under the name uncultured bacterium. RNAcentral's name for it is "partial 16S ribosomal RNA". It matches the Rfam family "Bacterial small subunit ribosomal RNA", at positions 524 to 760 of the family's 1533-position model. The record is from RNAcentral.